UACGUAGGGUCCGAGCGUUGUCCGGAAUUACUGGGCGUAAAGAGCUCGUAGGUGGUUUGUCGCGUUGUUCGUGAAAACUCACAGCUCAACUGUGGGCGUGCGGGCGAUACGGGCAGACUAGAGUACUGCAGGGGAGACUGGAAUUCCUGGUGUAGCGGUGGAAUGCGCAGAUAUCAGGAAGAACACCCGUGGCGAAGGCGGCUCUCUGGGACGGUACUGACGCUGAGACGCGAAAGCGUGGGGAGCGAACAGG
Molecule: ribosomal RNA, 253 nt
Filed under: uncultured bacterium
Lineage: Bacteria
Description: partial 16S ribosomal RNA
Rfam family: Bacterial small subunit ribosomal RNA
Source: RNAcentral